UAGAGGAAGUAAAAGUCGUAACAAGGUUUCCGUAGGUGAACCUGCGGAAGGAUCAUUACUGAAUGAAACUGAGCAGGGCUGUAGCUGGCCUCAGUAACUUGAGGCAUGUGCACGCUGUGUUCUUUCUGAAUUCUUCAACCCUUGUGCACCUCUCGCAGGCCUUGCCUGUGAGUUCAUUACAAACACAUCACAAAAUUGAGAACGAGGUCCUUGAGGCCUGAGAUAUAAUAACAGUACAACUUUCAACAACGGAUCUCUUGGCUCUCGCAUCGAUGAAGAACGCAGCGAAAUGCGAUAAGUAAUGUGAAUUGCAGAAUUCAGUGAAUCAUCGAAUCUUUGAACGCACCUUGCGCUCCUUGGUAUUCCGAGGAGUAUGCCUGUUUGAGUGUCAUGGUAUUCUCGACCCCCUCUGCAGUUCUGCUGCUCAGGUGGGUCGGACUUGGAGGUUUUCAAUUGCCGGCGCACGCGCCUUUGCGGUCGGUCGGCUCCUCUGAAACGUAUUAGCCUGAGUCACUGUCAGGUGCGACGCGGCAUGAUAGUUGUCUAUGCUGCCCUCGCCUCGACGACCUGCGCCGGGCUUCCAAAUGUCUCGAGGAGAGACAAAGUAUUUUGAAAAUCUGACCUCAAAUCAGGUAGGACUACCCGCUGAACUUAAGCAUAUCAAUAAGCGGAGGAAAAGAAACUAACAAGGAUUCCCCUAGUAACUGCGAGUGAAGCGGGAAAAGCUCAAAUUUAAAAUCUGGCGGCUUUGGUCGUCCGAGUUGUAGUCUGGAGAAGUGUCUUCUGCACUGGACCGUGUACAAGUCUCUUGGAACAGAGCGUCACAGAGGGUGAGAAUCCCGUCUUUGAUACGGACUGCCAGUGCUUUGUGAUGCACUCUCAAAGAGUCGAGUUGUUUGGGAAUGCAGCUCAAAAUGGGUGGUAAAUUCCAUCUAAAGCUAAAUAUUGGCGAGAGACCGAUAGCGAACAAGUACCGUGAGGGAAAGAUGAAAAGCACUUUGGAAAGAGAGUUAAACAGUACGUGAAAUUGUUGAAAGGGAAACGCUUGAAGUCAGUCGCGUAGGAUGGAACUCAGCCUGGCUCUCGCUUGGCGCACUUUCUGUUUUACGGGCCAGCAUCAAUUUUGGCCGCUGGAGAAAGGCCUUGGGAAGGUGGCACCUUCGGGUGUGUUAUAGCCUGAGGUCACAUGCAGCGGCUGGGAUUGAGGAUCUCAGCGCGCCUUAGCGGUCGGGGCUCGCCCACGUUCGCGCUUAGGAUGCUGGCGUAAUGGCUUUAAGCGACCCGUCUUGAAACACGGACCAAGGAGUCUAACAUGCCUGCGAGUGUUUGGGUGAAAAACCCGAGCGCGAAAUGAAAGUGAAAGUUGGGAUCCCUGUCACGGGGAGCACCGACGCCCGGACCAGACCUUUUGCGACGGAUCUGCGGUGGAGCAUGCAUGUUGGGACCCGAAAGAUGGUGAACUAUGCCUGAAUAGGGUGAAGCCAGAGGAAACUCUGGUGGAGGCUCGUAGCGAUUCUGACGUGCAAAUCGAUCGUCAAAUUUGGGUAUAGGGGCGAAAGACUAAUCGAACCAUCUAGUAGCUGGUUCCUGCCGAAGUUUCCCUCAGGA
This 1608-nucleotide ribosomal RNA is filed under the name Antrodiella afrocitrina. RNAcentral describes it as "eukaryotic LSU rRNA". The stretch from base 619 to 1608 matches the Rfam family "Eukaryotic large subunit ribosomal RNA", at positions 1 to 978 of the family's 3401-position model. Lineage: Eukaryota; Fungi; Basidiomycota; Agaricomycetes; Polyporales; Steccherinaceae. The record is from RNAcentral.